UCGAGGAUCUUCGGCAAUGGGCGAAAGCCUGACCGAGCGACGCCGCGUGUGGGAUGAAGGCCCUCGGGUUGUAAACCACUGUCAACGGGGAGGAAAUACAGAAGGGCUAUCCCUUUUGUUUGACCUAUCUGUGGAGGAAGUACGGGCUAAGUUCGUGCCAGCAGCCGCGGUAAGACGAACCGUACAAACGUUAUUCGGAAUUACUGGGCUUAAAGGGUGCGUAGGCGGCGCGGACAGUUGGGUGUGAAAGCCCUCGGCUCAACCGAGGAAUUGCGCUCAAAACUACCGUGCUCGAGGGAGACAGAGGUAAGCGGAACUCAAGGUGGAGCGGUGAAAUGCGUUGAUAUCUUGAGGAACACCGGUGGCGAAGGCGGCUUACUGGGUCUUUUCUGACGCUGAGGCACGAAAGCCAAGGUAGCAAACGGG
Molecule: ribosomal RNA, 426 nt
Filed under: uncultured bacterium
Lineage: Bacteria
Description: bacterial SSU rRNA
Rfam family: Bacterial small subunit ribosomal RNA
Source: RNAcentral